RNAcentral lists this ribosomal RNA (468 nucleotides) under uncultured bacterium. RNAcentral's name for it is "partial 16S ribosomal RNA". It matches the Rfam family "Bacterial small subunit ribosomal RNA", at positions 28 to 507 of the family's 1533-position model. The record is from RNAcentral.
GACGAACGCUGGCGGCGUGCUUAACACAUGCAAGUCGAACGGAAAGGCCCUGCUUUUGUGGGGUGCUCGAGUGGCGAACGGAUGAGUAACAAGUGAGUAACCUGCCCUUGACUUUGGGAUAACUACAGGAAACUGGGGCAAAUAACGGAUCGGAGCUCCUGCUGCAUGGUGGGGGUUGGAAAGUUUCGGCGGUUGGGGAUGGACUCGCGGCUUAUCAGCUUGUUGGUGGGGGAGUGGCUUACCAAGGCUUUGACGGGUAGCCGGCCUGUGAGGGUGACCGGCCACAAUGGGACUGGGAUACGGCCCAGACUCCUACGGGAGGCAGCAGGGGGGAAUAUUGCACAAUGGGCGGAAGCCUGAUGCGGCAACGCCGCGUGCGGGAUGACGGCCUUCGGGUUGUAAACCGCUUUCGCCUGUGACGAAGCGUGAGUGACGGUAAUGGGUAAAGAAGCACCGGCUAACUACGUG